GCAAAUCAAGCAUUUUGGAGAAGUCUUUGUACAUCCUCAUCUAGGCAGAGACGGAGAUGGUUCAGACUGGGCCUUGAGGUGCUGACCCUUAAAACUUAGUUUGGUAUUGUGGAAGCUUCCAGAGUAAGUUCUGGAGAUUAGGAAGUUGAAGAUCAAGGUCCUGGAAGAUUUGGUGUCUGGUGACAGUUUGUUCGAGGACACAGCAAGAAGGUAGCUAUCCACAAGCCAGGAAGAGAUUUCUCACCUGGAACUGAAUCAGCAGGCAUCUAGAUCUUGAACUUCCCAGCCUCCCAAAUUGUGAGAAACAAAUAUCUGUUACUGAAGCCACG
Myotis myotis is the source of this 329-nucleotide long non-coding RNA. RefSeq lists it as uncharacterized. The record is from RefSeq and is a predicted model, not a curated record. The transcript has 3 exons. Lineage: Eukaryota; Metazoa; Chordata; Mammalia; Chiroptera; Vespertilionidae.